AGACCCUGAGGUGGCCCGCUUCUUGACACUAAUCUUCCGUGUGUGGGUGUACUUUGGCAUCACCGCCAUGUUCCUCAUGACGUGCGUGGACAUCGGUCACUACUUGUAUGGUUUGUACGCCUUGAUGUUCCAUCCGCCACAGCAGCAGCUGGUAGCGGCAGAGGUGCUGCUCCCGCCUCCACCUCCGGAGAUGGACAUGUGCUAAAUUUGGUCUGUGGGUUCGGUAUGUGUUUGAUUGCUGGCAACAGGUGCGUUUUCUAACCCGUUCUUCAGUCUCUGUUUUAGUUGCUUACAGGUGUUGCUGCUCUCCUAGCUCAAGGUACAUGCCCUCCCCUUCCCGGCCCUAUCUUUGAUUCAGCACUUAUAAUGACGUAUUGCUUAACUAUGCAGCUAUAAGUAUCUGAAACAUUAAGUGUUGAAACAGAAAAUAUCUUGAUUUUAGGUUCCAUAUAUAGUGUAGUUGUCUGUGGCCCAUAUGAUUUGGUGCAGAUUUCGCUGCUUGUGCUAGACAUUCUGUUUUCAAUUUGUUUAGGCACUACUAGAAAUUGGAAGAUGCUUCAGGUGCUUCUUGUUUAGUAGCUAUUAAAUGGUAUGUUUUUUCAAGCCUCAAUCUAUCUUUUGUAAAACAAUGAAUCCACAAUGUGUUCAUACUUCAGUAGUUGCAAAGUGGGAGCACUCCAGUGAAUUUAUUACUUAAUUGUUCUGGUAUGUCUUUUCCUUGUUUAUUACUUUCUGUAUUUUGUGUUAUUUGUGAUAAACAGGCUUUCUUGAUGAAAGGAUCAAGUGGCAAGCAUCAGUGAGAGCACAUCACUUGAUGGCCCGAUCUGGACGUGAUCAUCACAGGGAAGUGGAGUAAAAGAUCAACCUGUUGAGUGCCAUGACAACAAAAAUGCCAGCGUGCUAAAUUAGGACAGAACUAAGUAGACCUGGAAAAUACUGCGAACGAAGUGGGAGAAGAACCAAGUUUGAAGCUUUUAACUGGAAUAGCUAUUACUUUUGUGUAGUUCGAAGUUUCUCAUUUGCAAUAGCUACUUUUUAUUUCAUAGUUUGUUCAGUAUCUUUAGGAAAUAAGAUAUGGUUUUUUAUAUCUCUAAAAGAAUUUCAGUUGCCAUUGUCUGUCCUGGAGUAGUGCUAAAAAUAAAUUUGUUUGAUUUCACAUGGUCUCUUGUUACUUGGGUUUCUUUUGUUCUCUGUGUUGUUUCUGCUGGGUCUUUGUCACUCCUGGUCACCCAAGUGUGACCUCUGUAGUAUAUGCACAAAAAUAUUACUAGUGUUGAAAAAGGUCUGAAAUUUUUUAAAUAAAUGGUACAGAACAAUGGUUUGUAUAUAUAGUUUAGUUACAUGUUUUUUAGUAUGUGACUGUACUGUGAAAAUCGGACAAUAGGCAACUAGCAUCUGGUACUUCCAUUGCAGGCUGAUUGGGAAGUCUAAUUGAAUUGUGGUGAUUGGCCUGAUUGGUGUUGGGUCUCACACAGAGGCCAUAUGCGGCAUGUGCCAAUGGUUAUGAGUUCCCUUUCUGCAAAAUGGAACAGCUAAAGGAUUUUGUUUUCCCUUUUUGUGCGCAUAAUAAAAAAAUGAAAUGAACUGACUAUUAAUACUGUUGUACUGUGUCACACUAAUUCUGUUUUAUGUUUUGGAAUUAGCUAGUCACUUGAUAUAUGUCAAAACUGCUAAUCUGAUAGGAUUUUCUUGUUAGUGAUAUCGAUAGCUAAUCUAACAUUUUGUUUGUGUGACCUUUUGAAUUAUUAUUCAAGUCUCUGUUUAUUUUUUACAUGCUUAUAGGUGUUGCUGCUCUCCAUGCUCAAGGUACAUGCCCUCCCCUUUUGGACCCUUUCUUUGAUUCAGCAUCUUUAAUGUCGUAAUUGCUUAAUUGUGCAGCUAUAAUAAGGAUCUGAAAUCUGAAAUAAUAAGUUUUGAAACAGAAAAUGUCUGGAUGUUAGGUUCCAUAUAUAGUUGUUUGUGGCCCAUAUGGUUUGGCACAGAUUUCUUUGCCUGUGCAAGACUUCUGUUUCCAAUUUGUUUAGGCACCAAUGGAAACUGGAAGAUCCUUAAGGUGUUUAGCUAUUAAAUGGUAUGUUUUUCAAGUUUUGUUCAAUCUAUCUUUUAUAGAACAAUGAAUCCACAAUUCUUAGUGUUGUGGAUGAUUGACUUGCUCCUUAAGGAUCUUCCUGGUGUAGGUUAUCCUCUCUUCGUUGCUAGAAUGAGCAUUUUGAUGUUGCUGCUCCUUGCGUUGCAUUUCUGUUGGUGUUAUAUUAUAGUGUGGAUAGUUCUGUUUACAAUUCUACUAGUGUAUAUUGCUUUCUUAGUUUCUUUUGCUAGUACAGUCAUUGAUUGGGUGCAUUGCGCUAUAGUUUCACUGCCAUUUCUUAAUUUUACAGCAUGUAAAUUCUUUUGUCACAUGACCCAUCUUUUAGCUGUGAAAUUAAAUGCGAGUGUGUUGAUAUAUAUACUCGGAAAUGUACUUCAUAUAUUUAACAACCUGACUUGACUACAAAAGAUCAUGAGUCCAUGUUGAAUUAGCACUAAUAAUCUGAACAUUGUUAGAAGUGCAAUCCUUUUCUAGAAAUUAUUUCACUUGAGAAGGAUGCAUUUACUUGCACCAUUUACUUGGACCUGUCAACAUAUGUAGGAUAUCGAACGUCAUAAUGUUCAAGUGCACAUUAUGUUCAACAAGGAUGAAUGACCCGGUUCAGGCAGGUCUUCACCAACUACAACUGGAAGACAGAUGCUCAAUCAUAUACAUUGUGGACAUAGCAUUGAUGAAAUACAGAGGCUAGAUUCUUUGCUAAGACAGCCUGAAUCCUAUGAUACAGAUUCAUUUUCUUAGUAGAUUGUUCCCCUUUUAUGGGAAAGCUAAUGAUUUCAAUGUUGCUAUGGGCAUCAGAGGCCAACCAUUGUACUAUAGGGCAUAGACAUAUUGUUUGAACCGCUUAAUAGUUUUAUCAGGCUUCAAAAGCCUCAGCUUGGAAUGGUAGUAUAUAUGUAUAUACCUGGCUCAAUGGGCUUGCAGUACCAUAUAAAUGGGAAUUACAGCCGUACAUGGACUGAGUGUGUUGUGUAAUAAAAAAGUACUCCACAUGUUAUGCGUUGGAGUCUCUAAUUAACUAUGUGUAUGACUUGAAUUAUGUGUUUGUUUUAGGAGAUCCAUUAUAUCAGUCUGCUGCUGCCUGUCAUGCAUAGCAGUGGCUAAAGAUGAGGCAGAAUCGAUUGGUCUUCUUCUUGGGAGUGCUUAUGAUAGCUGUUUACACUAGAGUUGUUUGUAUACAAUGUACUUAAUCUGGAUGUACUUGGCUUGUAUGUAGCGCUUCUAAAUAGUAAAUACUACUGGAAACAAUUUCAGUCUUAUUAGCAUUUUAUUUUCAAUAUGCGUAUCGAAUUCAGAGACCAAAUUACAAAUCAGUAUGUACAGAUUGUGUGUGGCCUACCUCUGAAAAACAGCUUGUCUCUGUCAGUGUGUCCCAACACACAAGUUAAGCUUGAUCAGACUGAGCUUCCUGUGUAUUGUGUACUGCUACGACAGUGUCAAUAGGUCACAAAUCUGUGUUUCAGGCCUCAAAAAGUAGUUUUCGCCUGAUAGCAAGUGUUGGCAUAUGAAAGCCAUAUGGUUUUAGGACGAUGGCACUGCACCAGUAGAUGAAUCCGUUUGAGUUAGGUCAUAAUUUGUUUUCAGAGUUUGAACAGUAACUAUUGGUUUAUAUCACAUUUAAACGUUCAUUAGUGUGCUAGUGUGUUCUAGUAUCUGAUCCGAGAUGCUUGUGGCUUUUUUUCAGCCAGACUAAAAAAAAUUCUAGUAGUGACCUAGGUCACUUGUUCUUUCAGGGCUUUUAAUAUACUACCUCUGUCCUUGAAAGUUUUAACUUCUAGAGUUGUUUUAAGGUCUUGUUUAGUUCCGAAAUUUAUUAGUACGCUGUCAAUUAGAAUAAAAAAGCGUAAGGAUAGGAGCAUGGUCAUUGCGAAGCAUUGGAAGAUAAUAUAUAGUCGUCCGAGGAUAAGCCAUAUAUCAUUCUGCGUUGGCAAGACAUUGAUCAAGAUGUUCGAAAGUUGGAGCAGAGCUGAAUCUCUUAUUGAUCCAUGUGUACGCCGGUCCGCUAUAUCCAAGAUCAAUGAAACCAUGCUGUUUGACAAAAUCACAGAAAACAUUAAUGCGCCUAAGAUCAGGUCUACCAGGACCUAAUUUUUCAUUGGGUACAUAAUAUCAUUCAUAUCUCCCAUAGAGAACAUAGACAAUGUGCUAUGACUUACAACAAAAUCCAGCACACGCAUCCAUAUGGUAGUAGUGUUAAUGUGAUGAGAGUCACCGUAAAUACAAACUAGCCCAAAUUGUUUCUGGUCUAGAUUAUUACUACACAAGGCAAAAAUAUAGUUUUGAGACUGAUCAACUACCGUGAGACUGGCCUUGAGCAGGGAUUACCAGCGCAUUUAUGGCAUUAAAACGAUUAAUUAAAGAAGUACGAGAUGUGUCAUCUAGUUUAAAAAAUAAAACAUACCUAUGACUUAGUAGAGGUAAUUAGGCGGGCAAGAUGUGUCAUCUUAGAACUGCUCGGGGAUCCGCCCGAUCCCCGACAGUUCCAUGCCAGGAGUGUCAUGGCGUCCACGACGCCUAUGCGGCUGGUGCUGGAGCCUUUUGAAGAUUGAGGUCGAUAACAAGCUGAGUAGGGCUGCGAGCCGUACCCUCGCUUUUACUAGUGUCACUUCAUGGCUAAGCUGUAGAGUGGGGUUCACCAUGGGGGAGAGCAUGAUGUUUUUCGUCACCCAGAUCUAGUUCGCCGAGAGGAAGCUGGCGAUGAUCAGGAAUGUGAGCCGUAGCCAUAGUGUCGGUGCCGUGGGGCGACGUAUGGCAAGGAUGCAUUGAAGUGAGAGAUUGAUGUUGCUGGGAUGGCGUGGUGGUAUGGCUUAUUGGAGACGCGGGUUGAGGCCGAGGUGGAGAGGUGGGUAUGGGGGUUGAAACCAUUGGUGGAUGAGGAAGCGUCUUGGUCGGGUGGCUUAGGCUCCAUGGUGAGGGGGACCGGCAAGGAAGUAUAGUCGCUUGCCAUGGUGGAAAGGGAUAGAAGAAGACGUAGAAAGGGGAGUACAAACGUGAAUGACGAGGGCUCAUCAGUAAGAUAUAGCAUACCUCCUUCAAAUCUAGAUCUCAGGCUAUUGAUUGCCACCAAUUGAAGCUACAGACAACCUAGAGCAGACACAUUGAAUUGCAUGAUAGGGAGAUUGGGAGGAGAUUUGGCGCAGGGGAUUCAGCUUCCGCCACUACACAGGUCCUAUUGUGUGGUGCCCACUGAGAGAAUCAGCGGAAGGAGCCAGACCGCUCAGAUCGGAUGAGGAUUGGCACACAGGAUGAUGAUCGGAAGGAUUGGGAUGGAUUAUAGCAAGGGGAAUCAAGGAUUGCGGGGGGGGGGGGGGGGAUUGAGUGGUAGGAAGGUAACUCAUGGCAUAACGGCCAAUGCUACUCAGAGUUCUCGUGGUCUAGUUCAUAGCCCAACCUAAUAUAAAUCAUCAUGGGAAGAAAAAAGUACCGAUACAUAAUAGAAAUACAGUCAACAGUGACUACACACAGACAGGAACAAACAUUGAUUUGAAAUGAACAAAUUAUAAUGUUCCUUUUUUUAGAACACACUCUGCAUUAAAUCUGACAAAAUAGAAGUUAGUAGUAGCAGCACUACAGACUCUGUCAGAAACUAAGCGAGGGUGCAAAGCUUUAGCAUUUCGGAGUGAUCAAGGGGGAGAGUUUAACUCCAUUGAGUUCAAGCAGUACUGUGAUGAGCAUGGAGUCAAAUAUUUCACCACAACUCCAUAUACACGGUAGCAAAAUAGCACUAUUGAGCGAUAGAAAUGCACCGUAGUGGGAAUAGCUAGAUGUCUGUUAAAGAGCAAGAGUGUCCUUGUGAGUUUUGGGGAGAAGCGGUGUCAGCUGCAGUCUAUUUACUAAGUCCUUGUUUAGUUCGUAAAAUUUUUUGUUUUUGGAUACUGUAGCAUUUCGUUUUCAUUUGACAAACAUUAUCCAAUCACAGAGUAACUAGGCUCAAAAGAUUCAUCUCACAAAUUACAGGUAAACUGUGCAGUUAGUUUUUAUUUUCAUCUAUAUUUAAUGCUCCAUGCAUGCGACCAAAGAUUCGAUGUGAUGGAGAAUCUUGAAAUUUUUUGCGAACUAAACAAGGCCUAAACCGAGCCCCAACAAAGAGCCAGCAAGAGAAAACUCCAUGGCACGACCGCAAGCCCAAAGUACAUCAUCUUCGCACGUUUGGUUGCAUUGCCUAUGUGAAGAUAGUUGAGCCUGGUAACUAAAAUGGUGUUUGUGAGCUAUAAAGCAGAACUAAGGGUUAUGAUGCCUAGCCUUGUUGAUGUGGCAUAGCUCGGCGCCAUGAAACAUAGCGCUGACAUCAGUGCUAAUGUCAAACGCUGUCCUCGCCAUCAUCAGCUUUGCUUUCGAAGCUGCAUGCGCUUUCGAAGCUGCAUGUCGUCUCGUUAUACCUGCUCGUGUGCUCUGCAUGCAUGCACCACCUCACUCAAUUAAUGUUCACGUGCAGUGCAUGCAUGUAGGUAGCUAGCCUCAUGGCAACUAGGCCUUAGUUCCAAAUGUUUUUCUAAAAUAGACAUUGUAACAUUUUCGUUUGUAUUUGACAAAUAUUAUCAAAUCAUGGAUUAACUAGACUCAAAAGAUUCAUCUCGUAAAUUACAUGUGAACUGUGUAAUUAGUUUUUAUUUUUGUCUAUAUUUAAUGUUCCAUGUAUGCGUCUAAAGAUUCGAUGUGAUGGAAAAUCUGAAAAAUGUUGCAUUUUUUUGCGAUGAAAGAAGAAUCAUAUUAGAUAAUAGUUGGGUACAUGAAUACAUUACAAGCACUCUGGAUUACACAAAUAUUCAGAAAAAAUCAUCUAAGUUAUACCCAAGCUGUGAAUAGCUUUAGAUCUCAAAACCAAAAUUUUUUGAGAACUAAACAAAGCCCUAAUAUGCUGUAGUGCAUGUGAGAGGGUGGUAUGGCACAUGGAAAGCUGUGUUUUUUUUUGUCUCGGUGAAAAUAUAUUGAUAGAGCCUUGUAUAGUUACAUUUUUUUUGUAUCUGAUUACUGUAGUAUUUUUAUUUUAUUUGACAACUAAUAUCCAAUUACAGACUAAUUAGGUUUAAAAGUUUCAUCUCAUAAAUUAUAGGCAAACUAUGUAAUUAGUUAUUUUUUAAUCUAUAUUUAAUAUUCUGUGCAUGUGUUCAAAAAUUCAAUGUGACGGGAGAAAAGAAAAAUUUUGGAACGAAACAGGGCUCACGUGACCAUGCUAGAGGCAAGUUUGUUGCCGAUUUUUUUUAAAGGGACGGUGGAUUUUUCACAAGAGAUGAAGAGACUUUUUACUGCAAAUAAAAAGAUAAUACCGUGUGAUUGAUUUUUCUAUGCGUGGGUCCGUUGGUUGAUCAGAAUUUUUUUCUCAGUACUGAAAUUACAAAUUGCGUCUAUAGAAAAUGUAAUGAACAAAAUCUUCUAUUUUGAUAUAAUAUAUAUGCAAUAAUAGUCGCCUGCAAUGACCUUGGUCAUGUGUUGCAACUAGAAAAAAAUACUCAUGUGUUGCUACUGAAAAAAGUAAUAUCAUAAUAAUUUAAAUUUCAACAUGUGUUGUACUGUAAACACAUAUUUUCAACAUGUGUUAGUUCGCGAUUUUUUUACUUUGGCUACUACUGUAGCAUUUUCGUUUAAAUUUGGUAAUUAUUAUCUAACUAUAGACUAACUAGGCUCAAAAGAUACGUCUCGUAAAUUUCAGGUAAAUUAUACAAUUAUUUUUUUAUUUAUAUUAAAUGUUCCAUGCAUGCAUCCAAAGAUUUGAUGUGAUGAAAAUCUAGAAAUGGCUACACUGAUGCCCACGGGACGCAAGGCUUGCGUGGCCGCAUGAGGCCAUUGGCUGAGCUGUAUUCCCUCUAUAUAGGGUCUAGAUGUCGUUUAGGAUAGCGAUACGAUCUACGAAACACAACUUUGACCUCUUAUUUUUAUAAAAAUAUUUAGAAAAAAUGAUAUAUGUAUUUUUAAAGACAAAUCUAUUCAUAAAUUUUUGAUAUUUGCAAACUCAACAAUUUAAAAGUUAUUGAUGAUUUAUAUUCCAAAGUUUGACCCAAACCUUGUCCAAAACGAUAUCUAAAUUCUAUACGAAUGGAGUACUUGUAUAUUUCAACUUUUAUGCAUGAAGAAAUCAAUUUUUAGUUUUUGUGGCAAUGCACAAAAUUAAUUACUCGCUUCAUUCUAAAUUAUAAGUCAUAAGUCAUUUCAAGAAUUUUGGAGAUUUAAAGUAUCUCAAGUUUAACCAAAAUUAUAAAGAAAAUAUAAAAAUUUAUGACAUUAAAUAGGUACAAUAUGACGAAAUUUAUGAUGCCAACUAAGUAUCAAUGUAUCAAUAGAUUCUUUAUUAAUUAUAUUUUUGUUAUGAAAGUGCAUUUGUCCCCUAUGUGGGUUUUGGUGUAUUGAUGACAUCCAAUUUAGGGACUAAUGCGUUGUAUUUGAGAUUUGCUACAGCUACUAGUCUCAUGAAAGAUGCAAAGGUUCGACUUAAGAUGAAAUGGUAUCCCCCAAUCUUCGUUCGUGAGAAAGGCGUUGGAAUCAAUCUAGAGCUUAAUUGUUUUUCUUUAAUUUUGGGGAUAGGUAUGCCGUACUAUCAAGAGGGAUUCAAAAGUUGUUGGUUUGGCGAAGAUAGAGUGCUCAAGUCUUUCAACUAAAACUUUUUAGAGACACUCUAGCACCUCUCUUGCACUUAGGUUUAACUUCUGUGACUUCUGGUGUCGGAAGUCCCGACGCGGGUCGGAACUCCCGACGUGCUGCGCGAGAACUGUGAACGUCGGAAGUCCCAACGUAAGUCGGAAGUCCCGACGUUGAGUUCUGCGCGCGCACAUGUCGGAAGUCCCGACAAGCGUCGGAAGUCCCGACGCCAGAACUUUGGCUGGCUGCUCCCUCGCACGAGCGUUAGCAGUCCCGACCAGCGUCAGCAGUGCUGACGCGUCGGAAGUCCCGACGCUUGUUGGAACUUCCGACGUUGCCGUUUCUGCGCUGACUCAGUUUGCCUGUUGAACAGUUUUUCCCCGUGAGUGUCGGAAGUCCCGACACUAUGUCAGAACUUCCGACGUAGACCUGAGCAGACUUUUCUCCCAGUAGUAUAAAUAGCUCUCUCUGUGUUUCUAACCGUUACCCACUCUUUCAUUGCGACCAUCCCUCAGACUAAACAGCUCCCAAGCAUUCAAGACUCCCCUCUCCUCCUCCUCUUUGCUCCCAACUUCGAUUCACCUUAGAUUUGGAGUGAUUGGAGAGUGGUUAAGUGAGAGCAACGUCUUGAGAAGCUUGAGCACUUGAUCUCUUCGUCAAGCCGGCAGGUUUUGAGUUUAUUACUCUUGGGUUCUUGGAACCCUAGCCGGCUAGGCAUCGUCCAAGAGCUUCCAUCUUGUGGAAGAGCCUUGGAAAGUUUGUAUUACCCGGUUUUUCUUAGUGGAAAGCUCAAGUGACCUUUGUGGUUACUUUGAGGGAGGCAAGGAGGUGAAAGAGACUCCGACCUUGGUGGUCACCUCAACAACGAGGACGUAGGAACUCCUAAGUGGGGUUGCCGAACCUCGGGUUAAAUCCUUGUGUCUCUUGUGGUAGUUUGUCUUAAGAUCUACUUGUAUUACUUGUAUUUGCUUGUGCUUCAACCUCCUUUUAGGGUUUGGUCUCGAUCUACGGUUUGGGGGACUCUUGGUGUCAAGGAAGGUUCUCAACAUCCUCUUCUAACCACUAGAGAGUGGUGUUGUAAGUUGUGGAUCUCACAAAGUUCAUUUAAGCACUUGUAGUUCAUUUCCCGUAGGUGUCGGAACUGCUGACAGUUUGCGUUGGAACUUCUGACAACGUCGGAAGUUCUGACCCAAACUGUCGGGACUUCCGACAGUUACUGACAAGUGACUUUGAGUUUUGUGUAGAAUUUUUAUAUACGCCUAUUCACCCCCCCCCUCUAGGCAUUGUUUAGAUCCUUUCAAUUGGUAUCAGAGCGAGGUCUUCUUUUAGCACUUUACCGUGUGAGAAGAAACAAUGUCGGAAACCGAAAAGACACAAGAAUUGGCUAAGGAAAUAGCCAAAGAACUGUUGGCAGCUCAAUCAAAGCUUUUUCAAGAUGAAAUGAAGAAAAUGCAAGAUGAGAUGACAAAGUUAAAAGAAGAGCUGAGCAAGAAAGUUGAUGAUGCAAUAGGUAGUAGGAAAUCUGAUGAGGGACCUAGUGGACACAAAGACAAUGAUAAUGAAAGUGAAGUUGGAGGUAAAGAAGAAGGUCAGUCUACUCCAACAUGAACUUUGAUUUUUCACAGCUUAUCAAGGCUUCACAUCAUGCUCCAUCUAUCAACCUAGGGAAACCUCCUCACUUUGAUGGAACUAGAUAUCCCGAUUGGGCCUACAAAAUGAAGAUGCAUCUCAUUGCCGCAAAUCUUUGGGAAGUGGUAGAUGUUGGUGUAACAUUUCCCACUGAAGAUAGAGAGAUCACUCCGGAGGAAGCUCACACCUUUCGUCAAAAUGCACAAGCUGUAGCUAUUUUAGUUUCAAGUUUGGCUCCAGAUGAAUUCAACAAAGUGAAUGGAAGAGAAGUUGCCAAGGAUAUUUGGGAAGUGUUGAAGACAGCAUUUGAAGGUGACAAGAGUGUGAGAAUGGGUAACAUUGAGUUACUUCAUGGUGAGUUGGAAAGAUUUGUUUUCCUAGAAGGUGAAUCCACUCAGGCUAUGUUUGAUAGGAUGAUGUCUUUGGUCAAUCGGAUAAGAUCUAUUGGAAGCACUGAAUGGGAUGAAAACAAGGUUGCUAGGAAGAUCUUGAGAACCUAUAGGGCAAAGAACAACAUGCUAGCAUCAGUGAUUAUGGAAAGGCCCGACUAUGAUUGCAUGACACCUCAAGAAGUUCUAGCCAAGCUCAAGCAUCAUGAGUGCCUUGAUCAAGAUGCAAUCAAUGCACAUAGUCAAAAUCCUAGUGCAAUGGGAUACAACAAGAAUGUAGCUCUAAAGGUAGAGCAAGGCCAUGAACACCACAAGUCAUGUCAAGAAAAGAAGAAAGUGAAGGAUGAUUCAUCAAGUGGUGACGAAGAUUCUGAUCAAGAAGUUGCUUUUAUCAUUAGAAAUCUCAGAAAGUUUAUGAAGAAGAAGGGUCAUCAAAAGAAGAAGAGGUUUUGCUAUGGAUGUGGACAGACCGGUCACUUCAUAGCUGAGUGCCCAAAUAUGAAAGACAAGAACAAGUACAACAAGAAUAAUGACAAGAAGUACAAAGGAAAGAAAAAGGGUGAAGCUCAUCUUGGUGAAGAAUGGAUAUCCAAUGAUAGUGAUUCAAGUGAUGAAGAGAAGAAGAAGAAGAAAGGAGCUGCAAAUAUUGCCAUCCAAAAAUCCUCAUCAUCACUCAUGAACCUCCCAAAGGCUUCACCACCAAAGCUCUUCCCCAACUUGGACUCCAAACCAAGCCUCUUCGCCAACCUCAUCGACGAUGAUUACUACACUCCAACUUGCCUUAUGGCUAAGGGGGAGAAGGUAACUACCUCAUCUGAAACCUCUAGUGAUGAAUAUGAUAGUCAUGAUGAAAACAUAGAACAACUUGAGGCAUCCUUGAUAAAGAAAUUUGGUCAUAAGGCCUUCACUAAAAUAAAAAGUCUAAUGAAGAAAUUAGAGAAGAGGGAUAGAUGCUUAGAGAUGAAAGGUGAUAUAAUUGUGCAAGAGAAGGAAAAGAACCUAGCACUUGAAGCAUCUAUCGCCGAGGAAAAGACGAAGGUUGAAAAGUUGACCGUUGAAUUGUCUUUAGCCAAUGACUCAAUUGGGAAAUUGACUAAGGAACAUUCCUCGGUUGAUGAUCAAGUAGCUAGCCUUAAAAAUGAGAAUAGUAUAGCUCAAGAAAGCCUCACAAGCUUUAAGGAAAAAUACCGAAUUCUUGAGUUAAACUAUAACACUCUUUGGGCUAGCACUUCGACUUCUCCUAAGGCAACCAAAGACUCUAAUGUCUCCACUAGCAACGGUUGUAAAAGAUGCUACAAAGUUGAUGUAAAUGCAUAUGCUACUAACCUUGUUGAGUUAGAGAAAAAGGACAAGGAAAUCAAUAGGUUGAAGAUGGAAAUUAAGAAGGGGUGUAAAUGCCAAGAGCAAUCUAAAAGGACUAUAUACAAGGCAUUUAGGCACCCAUCCAUCAAGGAAGGACUUGGUUUUAAUAGGUAUGAUGGAAAGGUCAAUGGAAGAAACAUUGUGAACGGAGUGCCUUGUGUAAAGUUCAACAAGGGUGUUGCCCUUGAUGAGCUUAUCUGCAAGGCAAACAACAAGGUUUAUCUUCCGUUGAUUCAACCUACAAACAACAAGGAAAGCAAGAUAAAGCCAUCCGAAGCUCCCAAGCCACAAGCACCACUUCCACGGUGCUAUGCUAGUGACUAUAUGUGUUGUUAGGGCAAAGAUAGCAAGAUCGUGGUAAAGUAUGUUGGUGCCCACAAGAGGAAGGAAAUAUUGAGGAGUGUCUGGGUGCCAAAACUUUAUGUGACUAACCCCCUAGGACCCAAAUCUAUUUGGGUACCUAAAACACAAGUUUGAUUUGUCUUGGUAGGAAUACUCCUCCAGUGGAACAAGUUGGGUGUUGGAUAGUGGAUGCACCAAUCAUAUGACCUGAGAGAAGGAUAUGUUCACAUCAUUCCAACCUAGUGGUGAACAAAGUGGAAACAUUGUAUUUGGUGACAAUGGAAAAGGAGAAGUACUUGGUUUGGGUAAAAUUGCUAUCUCAAAUGAUAACUCCAUUUCCAAUGUUUCACUUGUAAAUUCGUUGAGUUACAAUUUGUUGUCCGUCUCGCAACUUUGUGAAAUGAGUUACAAUUGUCUCUUUACGGAUAAGGGUGUGGAAGUCUAUAGAAGGGAGGAUUCCUCUAUUGCAUUUACGGGUCACCUAAAAGGGAAACUCUAUCUAGUUCAUUUCACAUCAAAUAGAGUAAAGCCCGAGACUUGUUUAAUGGCAAAAUCUAGCAUGGGGUGGUUAUGGCAUCGCCGACUUGCCCAUGUUGGGAUGAGGAACUUGGCCAAACUUCAAAAAGGCGAACACAUCCUUGGACUAACAAAUGUUUCUUUUGAGAAAGAUAGGAUUUGCAGUGCAUGUCAAGCGGGAAAGCAAGUAGGAGCUAAGCAUCCCGCAAAGAACAUCGUGACAACCGAAAGGCCUUUGGAGCUGCUACACAUGGACAUAUUUGGACCCGUGGCUUACAUAAGCAUUGGUGGUAACAAAUAUGGUUUUGUGAUUGUUGAUGAUUAUUCACGUUACACUUGGGUUUUCUUUUUGCGUGAUAAAAGUGAGGUCCAAGGUAUUUUCAAGAAGUUUGCAAGAAGAGCUCAAAAUGAGUUUGAUGUCAAGAUCAAGAAAGUUAGAAGUGACAAUGGGACGGAGUUCAAGAACACCAACAUCAAAGAGUACCUUGAUAAAGAAGGAAUCAAGCAUGAGUUUUCGGUUCCGUACACUCCUCAACAAAAUGGUGUUGUGGAGAGAAAGAACCGGACACUCAUAGAAGCCGCAAGAGCAAUGUUGGAUGAAUACAAGACUCCGGUGAACUUUUGGGCGGAAGCGGUUCACACGGCGUGUCAUGCUAUCAACCGCUUGUAUCUUCACAAGAAAAGAGAAAAGACCGCCUAUGAACUUCUAACUGGUAAAAAGCCCAAGGUGCACUACUUUAUAGUUUUUGGAUCCAAGUGUUUCAUACUUAACAAAAAGUCCAAAAGCUCAAAGUUUGCACCAAAGGUUGAUGAAGGUUUAAUGCUUGGUUAUGGUACUAAUGAACAUGGAUAUCGUGUUUUCAAUAAAACCUCCAGUUUGAUUGAAAUUGCGGUAGACGUGACCUUUGAUGAAACCGACGGCUCUCAAAAGGAGCAAGUCAAUGUUGAGAUUGUAGGUAAUGAAGCAGCUGCACAAGAAGCUAUCAAGAAGCUAGCAAUUGGUGAAAUAAAGCCCAUUGAAGAUGACGAUGAAGAAAGUGCAGUGCAUGUUGAUCAUGAUUCUACCAUUCAUCAUGGCUCAUCCAAUGAGCAUGGUGAGGCUUCCGCAUCAAGAAUCAAUGAAGAUUAUGGCAACAACGUGCAAGCUCAACCUCAUCUUAAUCUUGACCAUACAAGUGAAGACAAUCAUCCACAAGAUCAUAGUCUUGGUCUUCCAAUAGAUCAUGGCUAUGAUGAUGAAGAAGAUGAUGGCCCCAUUCAAAGAUCAACUCAAGUGCCACAUCCUAGAGUACAUCAAUCAAUUCAGCGGGAUCAUCCCGUUGAUAACAUUUUGGGAAGCAUUCGACGAGGGGUAACGACACGUUCUCGUUUAGCAAGUUUUUGUGAAUAUUACUCGUUUGUUUCUCCUUUGGAACCUCGUAGGGUGGAAGAAGCACUUGAUGAUGAAGAUUGGAUGAUGGCCAUGCAAGAAGAGUUGAACAACUUCACACGGAAUGAAGUCUGGUCCUUGGUGGAAAGGCUCAACCAAAAUGUGAUUGGAACCAAAUGGGUCUUCCGCAACAAGCAGGAUGAGCAUGGCGUGGUGACAAGGAACAAGGCAAGAUUGGUAGCUCAAGGUUUUACUCAAAUAGAAGGAUUGGAUUUUGGGGAGACCUAUGCACUGGUGGCAAGGCUAGAAUCCAUUCGUAUUCUACUAGCCUAUGCUGCCCAUCAUGAUUUCAAGCUAUAUCAAAUGGACGUGAAGAGUGCAUUUCUCAAUGGCCCCCUAUCCGAGUUGGUGUAUGUUGAGCAACCACCGGGCUUUGAAGAUCCCAAGUUUCCAAAUCACGUCUACAAGCUCGACAAAGCACUCUAUGGGCUUAAACAAGCCCCUAGAGCUUGGUAUGAUUGCUUAAAGGACUUCCUACUCAAGCAAGGGUUUGAGAUAGGAAAGGCCGAUGCUACCUUGUUUACUCGCAAAGUCAAUAAUGAUUUUUUUGUGUGCCAAAUAUAUGUCGAUGACAUAAUAUUUGGUAGUACUAAUGAAGACUUUUGUGAGGAAUUUAGUAGGAAUAUGACGAACAGGUUUGAGAUGUCUAUGAUGGGUGAGUUGAAGUUCUUUCUUGGAUUUCAAAUCAAGCAACUCAAAGAUGGCAUGUUCAUAAGUCAAACAAAGUACACCUACGAUAUGCUAAAGAAGUUCGACAUGGACAAAGCCAAACCCAUCAAAACACCGAUGCCAACAAGUGGGCAUCUUGACCCUGAUCAAGGAGGAAAGGACAUCGAUCAAAAGGUAUAUCGCUCCAUGAUUGGAUCCCUCCUUUACCUUUGUGCAUCUAGGCCCGAUAUUAUGCUUAGUGUGUGCAUGUGUGCAAGAUUUCAAGCUAGUCCAAAAGAAUACCAUCUAAUGGCUGUUAAGAGAAUCUUUCAGUAUUUAGUGCACACUCCUAAUCUUGGCUUGUGGUAUCCCAAGGGCUCCACUUUCGAGUUACUUGGCUAUUCCGAUUCGGAUUAUGCCGGUUGCAAAGUAAGUCGAAAGAGUACCACCGGGACUUGCCAAUUUAUUGGUAGGUCUUUGGUGUCUUGGAGCUCUAAGAAGCAGAACUCCGUUGCUUUGUCCACCGCUGAGGCCGAGUAUGUGGCGGCCGGUGCAUGCUGUGCCCAACUACUUUGGAUGAAGCAAACCCUCAAAGACUUUGGUUGUGAGCUAAACAAGAUUCCCCUUUUGUGUGACAACGAGAGUGCCAUUAAGUUGGCAAACAACCCUGCAAACCACUCUCGAACAAAGCACAUAGACAUCCGGCAUCACUUUUUGAGAGACCACGAAGCCAAAGGAGAUAUCGCACUUCAUCAUGUGAGCACCGAUAAACAACUAGCCGAUAUCUUCACAAAGCCCCUAGAUGAGUCAAGAUUUUGUGCUUUGAGGAGUGAGCUAAAUAUCAUUGAUUCUCGUAACCUACUUGAUGUCUUGCACAUAAUUUGAUUGAUCUAGGUAGGAGAAAAUUGUUUGCAAAGUUUGUUUGCUGUCUUUCAAAAUCUAAUUUAAUAUAGGUUUCAUGGAUGAUUAUAGUUAUAUAAUGCUUGUUUGUCAGCUAGUCAUCCUUGAAAUCAUUUGUGUCCAUCAUAUUUAUACCCCACUUUGCAGAGAGAGCUCAAAUUCUGAAGUUUUUGGGUUUUCCUGUGUCGGAAGUCCCGACGUGCGUCGGGAGUUCCGACGUGGUUGCGGGCUGAGCCCUCAGCCGGGAGUUCUGGCUGGCGUCGGGAGUCCCGGCCAGCGUCGGAAGUUCCGACGUGAGCCGAAAGUCCCGACGCAGAUCUCGCGCGCGUGCGGCAGACCUGUUUUGACUGGCUUGCCCCCCCCCUUUUUCACCCCGUGACCGCAGUCUUCCCCCCCCCCGCAGUCAGUUUCUUUCCCCCCCGCGCCUCCUCCUUCCCCAUUCCGAUCCAGAUCUGCCGCCGUCUCGCUGGCCUGCUCGGUCGCGGUGCGCCUCCCCCCUCCUUCCGUCGUGGUUCGCGGUGGUGCGCCUUGCGUCCUCUCCGUUGUGGUGUGUUUCGCCCUUCCCGAAGCCCUGCGUGCGCGGCGUGUGCUGCUCCUCGUGCGCAGCGUGUGUGGCGGCCGUCUCUUCGGCCGGACGUCUUCCUCGUCGCGCGUUUCUUUCUUCCUCUUCAGGUGCUUUCCCCUCUCUCUUCUCUCUCUCUCUCCCGUGUCUUGGCUUUGGAGUUUUUCGACCUCGUGCGUCGGGGGUUCCGACGGCUGUCGGGAGUUCCGACUGUCGGGACUUCCGGCCUGUGCCGGGACUUCCGACCUCGCGGUCCCUUGCUCCAUCGCAUGUCUUCCUCCAUCUUGUCUUCUAUCCUUUCUUGUGUUUGCCCAGCGUCUUAGUUGUUCGUCGCUUAUCUCGCAGUGAUGACUCGUGGAAGCCCUUCUCGCCAUGUUGAGAAGAGGUCCAAGACCAACCAGGACCGCUCCGCUGCCCCCCGCACCAAGGCUGUUCUCCCUCGGGCUGGUGCUGGUGGCUCUCGUCGUGUCGCUGCUGCCGCCGCUGCCCGUGCCUCUGGGCAAGGCCCAUCGGCUCCGGUGGCAGCCCCCCCUCAGUCCUCGCACCGGGAUCCUGAUCCCACCGGGCGUGACACCGAGGUCGACCCUGCAGAAGAGGAGCUUGAGCGUGCUGGGCGGACUAUUUCCGCUCAAGUGCGCUCCCUGUAUGAUGGGCCGGAGUGUCCCGUCUCCACGCUUGUCCCCUUCGACUCUCCGGCCCCCGUCGUGCGCUGCCCCGAGAUUGCUCCCAACAUGGGUGGUUGGGCUCCUCCUCGUCCGAUUGAUUUCCGCCACAACGUCUGCGACAUCAGGUCCUUCCGGAGCCGCAACCUUUAUGCUGAAGAUGAGAAGGAUCUCCGCCUUGAGUAUCGCUUUUGGCACUACUUUCAUUUCUACUAUUAUGAUUCCAUUCUUUACCGCAAGUCUCUUAAGAAAGGGAAGUCUCCGGUUAUUCAAAUGAAGUAUAUCAUUGAGUACUCCCUUUCCUCCACCUUCAAAGAUCAAGAGAUUCGACAAAUGGUGGAAGACUUGCGCAACAUGGGUCUCUCUGGGCUGAUGGAGCUUCACAGGCAUUGGAACAAUGAGGUGAUUAUGCAGUUUUAUGCUUCCUAUUUUCAUGAGACUGACAGCGAGAGUGACACUGAUGUUAUUCACUGGACCACUGAGGGUCGUCACUACAAGGUUGAUUUUGUCACCUUUGCUCGUUUGCUUGGUUUCAAUGGGCAUGAUCGUCGUGCAGCGGAGAUUACUGAUUAUGAGGAUGUGGCUAUGUCUGAGUACCAGUUUAUGUAUUUGGAGGGUUUUCCUGCUGAUGGACAGACCGUUUAUCUGAAGCCCUAUUACUAUGUGCUCAACAACAUUCUCAGGCAGGUUUUGUACCCCAAGGAAGGAGACUCCACUUUUCUUAGGGAUGAUUCUCAGAAGGUCCUAGCUCGUUUUGGAGAUGAUUUCCAGAAGUUCUCGGUCAGCCGGUACAUCUGGAACAGGAUACAUGAUGCUUCUGAGGAUCCGGUCAAGAACCUUCCAUAUGCUCCUUACAUCAUGCAUGUCAUUCAGCAGGUCUCAGGCAUUCACUUUCCUACUGAUGGCUCUAAUCACAAGGUGUUGAGAUUGGCAAAUCGGGUCUCCGUCCAAGCAGCUAGGGCUUUGAAGGCUUGUGGUGCAGAUCCUCCUCCUCGCCGUGGUGGUCCUUCCUCUGCUCGUUCCCGUCGUGCUGCUCCUUCGCCUCCUGCUAUCUCCCGCUCCACCAGUUCUCAGCCUCUCACCUCCUCUGGCAAAGGCAAGAAGCCCAGCAAGUUCAAGUUUCUGAUGACUUAUAUGUUUGGACAAUGUUGUGCUAGUGCUCAGAGGCAGCAUGAUAUUCAGGAGAGGCUCUAUCGUCUUGAGCAGCAGGCUGGUGUUGUCUCUUCGCCCCCUCCUCCGUUUGUGCCUCCCAGUGAUCCUCUUGCUCUUUAUGAUGAGGCUUGCCAAGCUUAUCAGGAUGAGGCCACUUCUCGCCCUCAUGGCAAAGGUGUGGCUGCCCCUGAGGAUGAGGAGUACCAUGAAGAAGAACAAGAUGAUGAUGAUGAUGACGACGACGAUGAUGAUGACGGUGACGAUGAGGACUUUGACAUUGAGUAGUCGUUUCUUCUCUAGCGCGGCCUACCCCUUUUGGCACUUGUUGACAAAGGGGGAGUGUUAGGCUUUGAUCUUUCAUGUAAUAAGCUAGAUGUCGUGGUUGGUAGACUUAAUAAUUUCUUAGUUUGGAUUAUCUAUGUCUCGUGGUGGUACUAUGUGAUGGACAUCUUUAUAUUUGUUGUGUGAGUUGGAUGAUUGUAGGACAAGUUGUUAAUCUUUUAUCUAUCUACGUUGUUUACUUGUCCUUGCCUCUUUUGUUUGUUUGUUGAUUGAGUUUUUGUGAUGGCCAUGUACUUAAGGUCUAUCUUGGUUUAUUGGUCAUCCUAUUCUCUCCACUUUGUUGUGUGAAUAUAAACUGUCAUUUUGCAUACUUUUUCACGGUUAUACUCUUGUUCACACUUGUUGCACCCCACGAAGUGCAAAAUUUAGGGGGAGCUUGUUCUUUGAUGUAUGUUUCUUAAGUGAUGACAAUCACCAUUGAAAUUCAAAUUCAUGCAUACAUCAAGGGGGAGCUCACUGUAAAUUUUGGACUUCAAAAGCUUUUUGACUUUCAUUUGUAAGCCUAAACUUGGUUGUCAUCAAGCACCAAAAAGGGGGAGAUUGAAAGUGCAUUUGCCCCCUAUGUGGGUUUUGGUGUAUUGAUGACAUCCAAUUUAGGGACUAAUGCGUUGUAUUUGAGAUUUGCUACAGCUACUAAUCUCAUGAAAGAUGCAAAGGUUCGACUUAAGAUGAAAUGGUAUCCCCCAAUCUUCGUUCGUGAGAAAGGCGUUGGAAUCAAUCUAGAGCUUAAUUGUUUUUCUUUAAUUUUGGGGAUAGGUAUGCCGUACUAUCAAGAGGGAUUCAAAAGUUGUUGGUUUGGCGAAGAUAGAGUGCUCAAGUCUUUCAACUAAAACUUUUUAGAGACACUCUAACACCUCUCUUGCACUUAGGUUUAACUUCUGUGACUUCUGGUGUCGGAAGUCCCGACGCGGGUCGGAACUCCCGACGUGCUGCGCGAGAACUGUGAACGUCGGAAGUCCCAACGUAAGUCGGAAGUCCCGACGUUGAAUUCUGCGCGCGCACAUGUCGGAAUUCCCGACAAGCGUCGGAAGUCCCGAUGCCAGAACUUUGGCUGGCUGCUCCCUCGCACGAGCGUCAGUAGUCCCGACCAGCGUCAGCAGUGCUGACGCGUCGGAAGUCCCGACGCUUGUCGGAACUUCCGACGUUGCCGUUUCUGCGCUGACUCAGUUUGCCUGUUGAACAGUUUUUCCCCGUGAGUGUCGGAAGUCCCGACACUAUGUCGGAACUUCCGACGUAGACCUGAGCAGACUUUUCUCCCAGUAGUAUAAAUAGCUCUCUCUGUGUUUCUAACCGUUACCCACUCUUUCAUUGCGACCAUCCCUCAGACUAAACAGCUCCCAAGCAUUCAAGACUCCCCUCUCCUCCUCCUCUUUGCUCCCAACUUCGAUUCACCUUAGAUUUGGAGUGAUUGGAGAGUGGUUAAGUGAGAGCAACGUCUUGAGAAGCUUGAGCACUUGAUCUCUUCGUCAAGCCGGCAGGUUUUGAGUUUAUUACUCUUGGGUUCUUGGAACCCUAGCCGGCUAGGCAUCGUCCAAGAGCUUCUAUCUUGUGGAAGAGCCUUGGAAAGUUUGUAUUACCCGGUUUUUCUUAGUGGAAAGCUCAAGUGACCUUUGUGGUUACUUUGAGGGAGGCAAGGAGGUGAAAGAGACUCCGACCUUGGUGGUCACCUCAACAACGAGGACGUAGGAACUCCUAAGUGGGGUUGCCGAACCUCGGGUUAAAUCCUUGUGUCUCUUGUGGUUGUUUGUCUUAAGAUCUACUUGUAUUACUUGUAUUUGCUUGUGCUUCAACCUCCUUUUAGGGUUUGGUCUCGAUCUACGGUUUGGGGGACUCUUGGUGUCAAGGAAGGUUCUCAACAUCCUCUUCUAACCACUAGAGAGUGGUGUUGUAAGUUGUGGAUCUCACAAAGUUCAUUUAAGCACUUGUAGUUCAUUUUCCGUAGGUGUCGGAACUGCUGACAGUUUGCGUCGGAACUUCUGACAACGUCGGAAGUUCUGACCCAAACUGUCGGGACUUCCGACAGUUGCUGACAAGUGACUUUGAGUUUUGUGUAGAAUUUUUAUAUACGCCUAUUCACCCCACCUCUAGGCAUUGUUUAGAUCCUUUCAUGUUAUUAUACCUAUUUGAUGUCACAAAUUUUUAAAGUUUUCUCUAUAAAUUUAGUAAAGCUUGAGAAGCUUUAACUCUCCAAAAUUUUUGAAAUGACUUGUAAUUCAGGACAGGUUAAGUACCUAAUAUACUUUAAAGUCUAAAAUGUCAUUUUACUUUAUAUAUAUACGUUGUUAAAAAAAUUCUAAAAUCACACUAAACCAUUGUAUUAAUAUAUCCAGCUGUUCUCAAUUCUCAAUAUCAGACCUUGUUUAGUUGGUGAAAAAUUUUGGUAUUGACUACUCUAGCACUUUCGUUUGUAUUUGACAAUUAUUAUCCAAUUAUAAACUAACUAGACUUAAAAAAUUUGUCUCACAAAUUACGGACAAACUGCAUAAUUAUUUUUUAUCUAUAUUUAAUACUUCAUGCAUGCGUCUAAGGAUUUAAUGUGACAGAGAAUCUUGAAAAAUUUUGAGAUUUUUGGUGAAGUAAACAGGCGUCAAUAUGCCAUACGAUGAUUAUUUAUGGGUUACACAUGCACCCAUUUAUUUUUUUUGUAAAAAAAAAGGACUCAAAGGGUAAAGACGGUAAUGAGGAAAAAAAAACCCCCCGCUCUCCUUCUUCCCCUUCCCGCUGACACCAGCUGGCGCGUGCGUGAAGGAUACGCCAACGCCGCAAACCGACCACUCCAUCUUCCCGGGCAAUAAAACCCCAGUAACUCAUCGGCGUCUCCUCCCCCGCUUCCCAGAGCAAUCCAUCCCCAGAGUUCUGGAAUCCCACUUCCUGAUCUCCAUCUCCCAGCAUCUCCGCGCGCGCCCCAUCGCGAUCUCGGCUCCGCGGCUGCCUCGAUCGAUUCCCCCAAGGCCGCAGGUGCUCCCCAUCCUCCCUCCUCGCUCGAUCCGCACUCCUCUCGACUCGUCGCCCCUUCGGAUCCCGUUGCGAUGCUGAGCCUGCCUCCUCCGGCCCCACCCGCGGCGGCGGCGGUGGCGGUGGCGGCGGCGGCGGCGGCGGAUGAGAAGCGUCCCUCGCCGCCGAUGAAGGCGAAGCUGCUUUUUCCGUACGCCGUGUCCUGCGUGUUCGGCGGCAUGCGCCGCGCCUGGGGCAUGGCUCUCGUCGGGCUCCACGCCUUGACCCGUGUCGUCAAGGUCGUCUCCUUCACGACAGACGCAGAGGAGGUUCGCUUCUUGGUACCGAUCUUCCACGGCUGGGUGUACCUCGGCAUCGCCGCCGUGGUGCUCGUGACGUGCGUGGACAUCAUCUACUACACGGUGAGUCUGCUCUUUCCAUACGCUGUGUCCUGUGUGGUCAGCGGCAGAGGCCGGCCCAGGGGCAUGGCUAUGAUCAGCCUCCACAUUGUGCUCAGCAUCGUCAAGGUCCUCUCUUUCACCACAGACCCUGAGGUGGCCCGCUUCUUGACACUAAUCUUCCGUGUGUGGGUCUACUUUGGCAUCACUGCCAUGGUCCUCAUGACGUGCGUGGACAUCGGUCACUACUUGUAUGGUUUGUACACCUUGAUGUUCCAUCCGUCACAGCAGCAGCUGGCAGCGGCAGAGGUGCUGCUCCCGCCUCCACCUCCGGAGAUGGACAUGUGCUAAAUUUGGUCGGUGGGUUCGGUAUGUCUUUGAUUGCUGGCGUCAGGUGCGUUUUCUAACCCGUUCUUCAGUCUCUGUUUUAGUUGCUUACUUACAGGUGUU
This 22374-nucleotide long non-coding RNA is filed under the name Sorghum bicolor (sorghum). Its description in RNAcentral is "long non-coding RNA (SBIC_LNC008003)". Lineage: Eukaryota; Viridiplantae; Streptophyta; Magnoliopsida; Poales; Poaceae. The record is from RNAcentral.